GACGAACGCCGGCGGCGCGCCUAACACAUGCAAGUCGAACGGAGCUGAGAGAAGCUUGCUUUUCUUAGCUUAGUGGCGAACGGGUGAGUAACGCGUGAGUAACCUGCCCUGGAGUGGGGGACAACAGUUGGAAACGACUGCUAAUACCGCAUAAGCCCACGAUCCGGCAUCGGAUUGAGGGAAAAGGAUUUAUUCGCUUCAGGAUGGACUCGCGUCCAAUUAGCUAGUUGGUGAGGUAACGGCCCACCAAGGCGACGAUUGGUAGCCGGACUGAGAGGUUGAGCGGCCACAUUGGGACUGAGACACGGCCCAGACUCCUACGGGAGGCAGCAGUGGGGGAUAUUGCACAAUGGGGGAAACCCUGAUGCAGCGACGCCGCGUGGAGGAAGAAGGUUUUCGGAUUGUAAACUCCUGUCGUUAGGGACGAUAAUGACGGUACCUAACAAGAAAGCACCGGCUAACUACGUGCCAGCAGCCGCGGUAAAACGUAGGGUGCAAGCGUUGUCCGGAAUUACUGGGUGUAAAGGGAGCGCAGGCGGACCGGCAAGUUGGAAGUGAAAACUAUGGGCUCAACCCAUAAAUUGCUUUCAAAACUGCUGGCCUUGAGUAGUGCAGAGGUAGGUGGAAUUCCCGGUGUAGCGGUGGAAUGCGUAGAUAUCGGGAGGAACACCCAGUGGCGAAGGCGACUACUGGGCACCAACUGACGCUGAGGCUCAAAGCAUGGGUAGCAAACAGGAUUAGAUACCUGGGUAGUCCAUGCCGUAAACGAUGAUUACUAGUGUNGGANGGAUGNACCCCUUCAGUGCCGCAGUUAACACAAUAAGUAAUCCACCUGGGGAGUACGACCGCAAGGUUGAAACUCAAAGGAAUUGACGGGGGCCCGCACAAGCAGUGGAGUAUGUGGUUUAAUUCGAAGCAACGCGAAGAACCUUACCAGGUCUUGACAUCCGAUGCAUAGUGCAGAGAUGCAUGAAGUCCUUCGGGACAUCGAGACAGGUGGUGCAUGGUUGUCGUCAGCUCGUGUCGUGAGAUGUUGGGUUAAGUCCCGCAACGAGCGCAACCCUUAUUGCCAGUUACUACGAAAGAGGACUCUGGCGAGACUGCCGUUGACAAAACGGAGGAAGGUGGGGAUGACGUCAAAUCAUCAUGCCCUUUAUGACCUGGGCUACACACGUACUACAAUGGCGUUUAACAAAGAGAAGCAAGACCGCGAGGUGGAGCAAAACUCAAAAACAACGUCUCAGUUCAGAUUGCAGGCUGCAACUCGCCUGCAUGAAGUCGGAAUUGCUAGUAAUCGCGGAUCAGCAUGCCGCGGUGAAUACGUUCCCGGGCCUU
Molecule: ribosomal RNA, 1335 nt
Filed under: uncultured bacterium
Lineage: Bacteria
Description: bacterial SSU rRNA
Rfam family: Bacterial small subunit ribosomal RNA
Source: RNAcentral